RNAcentral lists this unclassified non-coding RNA (376 nucleotides) under uncultured Eubacteriales bacterium. RNAcentral's name for it is "contains 16S-23S intergenic spacer region". The record is from RNAcentral. Lineage: Bacteria; Bacillati; Bacillota; Clostridia; Eubacteriales.
UCCGAGUUAUCCCCGGCAGUCUCACUAGAGUGCCCAGCCGAACUGCUGGCAACUAAUGACAAGGGUUGCGCUCGUUGCGGGACUUAACCCAACAUCUCACGACACGAGCUGACGACAACCAUGCACCACCUGUCUCCUCUGCCCCGAAGGGAAGGACCCGUUACGGUCCGGUCAGAGGGAUGUCAAGCCCUGGUAAGGUUCUUCGCGUUGCUUCGAAUUAAACCACAUGCUCCGCUGCUUGUGCGGGUCCCCGUCAAUUCCUUUGAGUUUCACACUUGCGUGCGUACUCCCCAGGCGGAGCACUUAAUGCGUUAACUGCGGCACCGAAGCCUUGCGACCCCGACACCUAGUGCUCAUCGUUUACGGCGUGGACUAC